RNAcentral lists this ribosomal RNA (468 nucleotides) under uncultured bacterium. Its description in RNAcentral is "partial 16S ribosomal RNA". It matches the Rfam family "Bacterial small subunit ribosomal RNA", at positions 28 to 507 of the family's 1533-position model. The record is from RNAcentral.
GACGAACGCUGGCGGCGUGCUUAACACAUGCAAGUCGAACGGAAAGGCCCUGCUUUUGUGGGGUGCUCGAGUGGCGAACGGGUGAGUAACACGUGAGUAACCUGCCCUUGACUUUGGGAUAACUUCAGGAAACUGGGGCUAAUACCGGAUAGGAGCUCCUGCUGCAUGGUGGGGGUUGGAAAGUUUCGGCGGUUGGGGAUGGACUCGCGGCUUAUCAGCUUGUUGGUGGGGUAGUGGCUUACCAAGGCUUUGACGGGUAGCCGGCCUGAGCGGGUGACCGGCCACCUUGGGACUGAGGUACGGCCCAGACUCCUACGGGGGGCAGCAGUGGGGGAUAUUGCACAAUGGGCGGAAGCCUGAUGCAGCAACGCCGCGUGCGGGAUGACGGCCUUCGGGUUGUAAACCGCUUUCGCCUGGGACGAAGCGUGAGUGACGGUAAUGGGUAAAGAAGCACCGGCUAACUACGUG